CUUCAACGAAGCCCUAGUUUCUUCUCUGUCAUUGCCAUUGGUCAUCGCCGACUUCCAAUUCUCCUUCUUUGCCGUUUAUCGUUGAAAUUGGCAGCUUCGGCGGCGUGGAGGCACUUCUUUGCGGCACCGUGAGGUGAGUUUUCCAAAUAUAACUGGACACAUUAAUAUUCUCCACUCUUCGUACAUUGGAUAUGGCAUGCUUUGGAUGGUUGUCAUUGUUGACUCCAUUUAUUAACUAAAUAAAAAUUUAACCCACCAGAUCCCCAAUUGGACUCAAUUUAUUUGUUUGGAAUUAUUGGGUAAAAUGUGCGGUUUCAUCAUUGAACAACAAUUGGUGAUAAUUUGUACUACGGUGUUUGUUGGGCAGACGGUCUUUCGAGCUCAUAAAGAAUAUGCCACAGUUCCCCCAAAAAUUCCCAUCUUUUUAUGGAAGUAGCAUGAUAUUAAUUUGGAAUUUUUGAUUUUAUUCAGCUGGAAUUGCAGUGGGAUAAUAUUGGAUUGUUUGUGAGGUUGCAUCAUUCAACUAAAAUAUGUGAUAAUUUUGCAUCAUUUAACUAAAAAUACACUGCAUAAGUUAUCUAUUAUUGACUUUUGAUGCCUUUUCUUGGAAUUAUGUGGUGGAGAAGCAUGACAUUUUCCAGGUGGUGAAUAAUUUCAGAAAUUUAGCUGCAAAAAUAUUUUCCAUAUUUCUGUGUUGGACUGAACUCUCACAUGUCAUGCUUGUGUGAAGAAUAAGAAAAACGGUGGGCACAAAACUUGGAAACACGUGCAAUCAUUUAUAAGGUUCACCGAGCAUGACUAAUGUGACAAAAUUGAUGUUCUUGUGAAGGUGACUGAUAUCUGCAGCUCCCAAGCUUUUGUUUUGCCUUGUACAUGGAAAAGACAGAAAAGGGGGUUAUGGUUUGAAUGAUCCUCGAAGGUCGCUACUUCGGAUAGAUAGACUACCAUCCACUUACAAGGCGACGAAGAAAUUUUCCGUAUUCGGACCCCAUCUUGCGGCGUUAUUUAUAUUUAAGAUACUUUAUUUCUUCUUUAAUUUAAUUUUGUGGUGGACAUUAUAGUAGUCCACUUGUUUGUCACAAAUAUAAAUUUUAUGUAAUAUGGCAGAUUAUAUUACGCAAAUUUUCUACAAGUAUUUUGUGAAGUUUCUGUUAGUUUGGAUGUCUAA
This is a non-coding RNA of Erythranthe guttata (spotted monkey flower), 1168 nucleotides long. NCBI's taxonomy places the organism in Eukaryota, Viridiplantae, Streptophyta, Magnoliopsida, Lamiales, Phrymaceae. The record is from RefSeq and is a predicted model, not a curated record.